Long non-coding RNA from Clupea harengus (Atlantic herring), 166 nucleotides. RefSeq lists it as uncharacterized. The transcript has 3 exons. Lineage: Eukaryota; Metazoa; Chordata; Actinopteri; Clupeiformes; Clupeidae. The record is from RefSeq and is a predicted model, not a curated record.
CAUCAGGUCCAAAACGACAGACACACAGACCUCCAUCUCCAGUGCCCAGCUGUGUGUCUAUGAAGAGUGACCAGUCCAGGGAUGACUCACCCAAUUUCAGCAGUAAACCAGUUCCAUCAGGUCUAAAACGACAGACACACAGACCUCCAUCUCCAGUGCCCAGCUG